CAGAGAAUAGUUUAAUUAAAAUACCAGCUUUGGGAGUUGGUGAUAAAGGUUUGAUUCCUUUUUUUCUGA
Molecule: transfer RNA, 69 nt
Filed under: Neopipo cinnamomea
Lineage: Eukaryota; Metazoa; Chordata; Aves; Passeriformes; Tyrannidae
Description: tRNA-Pro
Rfam family: tRNA
About the family: Transfer RNA (tRNA) molecules are approximately 80 nucleotides in length. Their secondary structure includes four short double-helical elements and three loops (D, anti-codon, and T loops).
Source: RNAcentral